UACGGAGGGUGCAAGCGUUGUCCGGAUUUAUUGGGUUUAAAGGGUGCGUAGGUGGUUUGUUAAGUCUGGUUUGAAAGUUAGCUGCUCAACAGUUAGAUGUGGCUGGAAACUGGGGUUCUGGAAUGGGUUGGCGGCUGCCGGAACGGGUCAUGUAGCGGUGAAAUGCAUAGAUAUGACCCAGAACACCGAUUGCGAAGGCAGGCAGCUACGACCUGAUUGACACUGAGGCACGAGAGCAUGGGUAGCGAACAGG
This 253-nucleotide ribosomal RNA is filed under the name uncultured bacterium. Its description in RNAcentral is "partial 16S ribosomal RNA". It matches the Rfam family "Bacterial small subunit ribosomal RNA", at positions 524 to 776 of the family's 1533-position model. The record is from RNAcentral.